Dipodomys ordii (Ord's kangaroo rat) is the source of this 463-nucleotide non-coding RNA. NCBI's taxonomy places the organism in Eukaryota, Metazoa, Chordata, Mammalia, Rodentia, Heteromyidae. The record is from the annotation of a RefSeq genome assembly.
CAACCCCUACUGAUUUGCAUGUGCCCAGAGCACAGCCCACUGCCCUGAGCAGUUCUUGAAAGCUGCUCACAUCCUGGGCAGUAGUCAAUCCUAGUCAGCACACAGCAUGGACAUGAAGGUCCCUGCUCAGUUCCUGGGUCUCCUGAUGCUCUGGAUUACAGUUCCACUUAGCAAUCAAGCUGAAAUUAUCAAGAGAAACACUGAAUACAAACAACACUGUUGGCACUGGUAUCCAGCCAUUCUGUGCUCUCCUGCAAGGUACACUGAAGGUGUCCAUUGUGAUGUCCAGUUGACUCAGUCACCAUCCCUGCCUGCAUCUCUGGGAGAGAGAGUCACCAUCACUUGCAAAGCCAGUCAGAAAGUGUCCAGAAUUCAGGAUCAUCAAUAGCAUCCCUGAGAGCAUGUUACAAAUACAAUAUUACAAAACCACUUCACAUCUACUGAGUGUGAAUCUGCCUUUCAG